AACGAAAACAAAAUCUAAUUUAAUUGGAAAAUCAAAAUCAAAUACAGAAAGAAAGUCUAUAUCAGAAAUGGGAAAUUUUAAUCAAUAAACAUCAGGACAGGUCAUUUUUGUGCAGAAGAAUACGCAGGCAAAGGAAUAUCAUAUCAUAGUCAUUUAGGUUCUCUCUCACAAACCCUUCUGUAAAACAGGAUUAUAGAGAUAUACAUUAUCCAAAGAAACAAGUUCCAGCAAACAUAUCGCAGCCACAAAAAAGUUCCAGUCGCUGAUUGCUACUCGUACAGACGAGGCCAUACAAGCCCAGCAAGAAAUAUAGAUAUAGCAACAGGACAAACACAUUAUGCAGCAAUUGGGUCACUCUUGAGACUUAUCGGUUUCCAUGGGCUCCGUGGAUGAUGCUUCAUUUCUAGAUUCAUCAGUGUUCUGGCCAGGGCUUGAGUUAGGGUUCUCUGCUCCAUGAGAUUGGGACUCGCCUCCUUGAGAGGAUGCUGGUGAGGGUGCUUCAGGAGUAGCUGGCUUCACCGGCUUUGGCUUCAUCAUUAUUGGCCUGCAAAGCCUGCCAAGGCAAGUUGUAUUUUCAUUAGAGACCAAAUAGUUUGUAAUUACUAGAACAAAAACAAACAGGCGUACUAGCAAGCUAUUUAGCAUCUUCCCCACCAUGCCGCAAAGACACAAAAAUAGCAUUUAGACAAUAGACGGCAAACCCACAACUUAAUAGAAAAUGGCUCAUAAUUACUCGACGGUUAAAUGAAAGAAUACCUAUCGAGAGCUUCAGCUUUUUUCCUGACAUCAGCG
This 792-nucleotide long non-coding RNA is filed under the name Olea europaea subsp. europaea. Lineage: Eukaryota; Viridiplantae; Streptophyta; Magnoliopsida; Lamiales; Oleaceae. The record is from RNAcentral.